CUCAGAUACCCCCCGGUCUUUCCUUGACCCUGCAGGUCCUGAGACAACACUGUCCCCACGAGGGCUCCAACCCCACUUAGCCUCUAGAGUGAUCCCCUUCAGUGGAGCAGACUU
This is a long non-coding RNA of Mustela erminea (ermine), 114 nucleotides long. RefSeq lists it as uncharacterized. The transcript has 3 exons. Lineage: Eukaryota; Metazoa; Chordata; Mammalia; Carnivora; Mustelidae. The record is from RefSeq and is a predicted model, not a curated record.